AUGAACGCUGGCGGCGUGCUUAACACAUGCAAGUCGAACGAAGCACUUUAUUUGAUUUCCUUCGGGACUGAUUAUUUUGUGACUUAGUGGCGGACGGGUGAGUAACGCGUGGGUAACCUGCCUUGUACAGGGGGAUAACAGUUGGAAACGGCUGCUAAUACCGCAUAAGCGCACAGCAUCGCAUGAUGCAGUGUGAAAAACUCCGGUGGUAUAAGAUGGACCCGCGUUGGAUUAGCUAGUUGGUGAGGUAACGGCCCACCAAGGCGACGAUCCAUAGCCGAACUGAGAGGGUGACCGGCCACAUUGGGACUGAGACACGGCCCAAACUCCUACGGGAGGCAGCAGUGGGGAAUAUUGCACAAUGGGCGAAAGCCUGAUGCAGCGACGCCGCGUGAGCGAAGAAGUAUUUCGGUAUGUAAAGCUCUAUCAGCAGGGAAGAUAAUGACGGUACCUGACUAAGAAGCACCGGCUAAAUACGUG
This 480-nucleotide ribosomal RNA is filed under the name uncultured bacterium. RNAcentral describes it as "partial 16S ribosomal RNA". It matches the Rfam family "Bacterial small subunit ribosomal RNA", at positions 29 to 507 of the family's 1533-position model. The record is from RNAcentral.